AAGCACAUUCUCAUAUGAUCACCAAAGUUAAGCAACACCAGGCCUGGUCAGUACUUAGAUGGGGGACCACUUGGGAAUACCAGGUGCUGUAAG
Molecule: non-coding RNA, 93 nt
Organism: Acanthosepion pharaonis
Lineage: Eukaryota; Metazoa; Mollusca; Cephalopoda; Sepiida; Sepiidae
Source: the annotation of a GenBank genome assembly